This 253-nucleotide ribosomal RNA is filed under the name uncultured bacterium. RNAcentral describes it as "partial 16S ribosomal RNA". It matches the Rfam family "Bacterial small subunit ribosomal RNA", at positions 524 to 776 of the family's 1533-position model. The record is from RNAcentral.
UACGAAGGGGGCUAGCGUUGCUCGGAAUUACUGGGCGUAAAGCGCACGUAGGCGGCUUUCUAAGUCGGGGGUGAAAUCCUGGAGCUCAACUCCAGAACUGCCUUCGAAAUUGGAGAGCUCGAGUCCGGGAGAGGUGAGUGGAACUGCGAGUGUAGAGGUGAAAUUCGUAGAUAUUCGCAAGAACACCAGUGGCGAAGGCGGCUCACUGGCCCGGUACUGACGCUGAGGUGCGAAAGCGUGGGGAGCAAACAGG